This 498-nucleotide ribosomal RNA is filed under the name uncultured bacterium. RNAcentral describes it as "partial 16S ribosomal RNA". It matches the Rfam family "Bacterial small subunit ribosomal RNA", at positions 30 to 523 of the family's 1533-position model. The record is from RNAcentral.
AUUGAACGCUGGCGGCAUGCCUUACACAUGCAAGUCGAACGGUAACAGGUCUUCGGAUGCUGACGAGUGGCGAACGGGUGAGUAAUACAUCGGAACGUGCCUAGUAGUGGGGGAUAACUACUCGAAAAAGUGGCUAAUACCGCAUGAGAUCUACGGAUGAAAGCAGGGGAUCGCAAGACCUUGUGCUACUAGAGCGGCCGAUGGCAGAGUAGGUAGUUGGUGGGAUAAAAGCUUACCAAGCCGACGAUCUGUAGCUGGUCUGAGAGGACGAUCAGCCACACUGGGACUGAGACACGGCCCAGACUCCUACGGGAGGCAGCAGUGGGGAAUUUUGGACAAUGGGCGAAAGCCUGAUCCAGCAAUGCCGCGUGCAGGAUGAAGGCCUUCGGGUUGUAAACUGCUUUUGUACGGAACGAAAAGCCCUGGGUUAAUACCCUGGGGUCAUGACGGUACCGUAAGAAUAAGCACCGGCUAACUACGUGCCAGCAGCCGCCGUAA